This 1244-nucleotide long non-coding RNA is filed under the name Anas platyrhynchos platyrhynchos (common mallard). Its description in RNAcentral is "lncRNA (ENSAPLG00000026463.1)". Lineage: Eukaryota; Metazoa; Chordata; Aves; Anseriformes; Anatidae. The record is from RNAcentral.
GGAAACAGUUUGGGGACACGGUUUGGGGACGCGGUUUGGGGCCGUGGUUUGGGGACACGGUUUGGGGACACGGUUUGGGAACGCGGUUUGGGGGUGUGGUUUGGGGACGCGGUUUGGGGAUGCAGUUUAGGGACAUGGUUUGGGGACACAGACUGGGGACACGGUUUGGGGCCGCGGUUUGGGGGUGCGGUUUGGGGACGUGGUUUGGGGACAUGGUUUGGGGAAACAGUUUGGGGACGCGGUUUGGGGACGCGGUUUGGGGCCGUGGUUUGGGGACACGGUUUGGGGACACGGUUAGAGGCUGCAGUUUAGGGACACAGUUUAGGGACGCGGUUUAGGGACGUGGUUUGGGGCCACGGUUUGGGGCCACGGUUUGGGGACACAUUUUGGGGACACAGUUUAGGGCCGCGUUUUGGGGUGGGUACCUUGGACUCGACGUGGUACGCCACGUAGUGCGCGGUGCAGCGCAGUUUGGGGACACAGUUUAGGGAUGUGGUUUGGGGAUGCGGGACACGUUUUGGGGACACAGUUUGGGGACACAUUUAGGGACACGGUUUGGGGACACAGUUUUUAGGGCCACGUUUUGGGGACAUGUUUUGGGGCCGCGGUACCUUGGACUCGACGUGGUACGCCACAUAGUGCGCGGUGCAGCGCAGUUUGGGGACACAGUUUGGUGCCACGGUUUGGGGAUGCGAGACACGUUUUAGGGACACAUUUUGGGGACACAUUUAGGGACACAGUUUGGGGACACAUUUAGGGACACAUUUAGGGCCACGGUACCUUGGACUCGACGUGGUAGGCCACGUAGUGCGCGGUGCAGCGCAGUUUGGGGACACGGUUUGGGGAUGUGGUUUGGGGAUGCGGGACACGUUUUGGGGACACGAUUUGGGGACACAGUUUUUAGGGCCACGUUUUGGGGACACAUUUGGGGACACAUUUAGGGCCACGGUACCUUGGACUCGACGUGGUAGGCCACGUAGUGCGCGGUGCAGCGCAGUUUGGGGACACGGUUUGGGGAUGCGGGACACAUUUUGGGGCCACGUUUUGGGGACACAGUUUUUAGGGCCACAUUUUGGGGACACAUUUAGGGACACAUUUUGGGGACACAGUUUGGGGAUGCGGGACACAUUUUAGGGACACAGUUUAGGGACACGGUUUGGGGACACAUUUUAGGGACACAUUUUGGGGACACAUUUAGGGCCACGUUUUGGGGCCGUGUUUUGGGGCAGGUACCUUGGACUCGA